RNAcentral lists this transfer RNA (74 nucleotides) under Prolixibacteraceae bacterium. Its description in RNAcentral is "tRNA-Arg". It matches the Rfam family "tRNA". From Rfam's summary of the family: Transfer RNA (tRNA) molecules are approximately 80 nucleotides in length. The record is from RNAcentral. Lineage: Bacteria; Pseudomonadati; Bacteroidota; Bacteroidia; Marinilabiliales; Prolixibacteraceae.
GGACCCGUAGCUUAAUUGGAUAGAGUUUCUGACUACGGAUCAGAUGGUUGGGAGUUCGAGUCUCCCCGGGUUCA